This 451-nucleotide ribosomal RNA is filed under the name uncultured bacterium. RNAcentral's name for it is "bacterial SSU rRNA". It matches the Rfam family "Bacterial small subunit ribosomal RNA", at positions 29 to 524 of the family's 1533-position model. The record is from RNAcentral.
AACGAACGCUGGCGGCAUGCCUAACACAUGCAAGUCGAACGAAGCCUUCGGGCUUAGUGGCGCACGGGUGCGUAACGCGUGGGAAUCUGCCCUUGGGUUCGGAAUAACAGUUAGAAAUGACUGCUAAUACCGAAUGAUGUCUUCGGACCAAAGAUUUAUCGCCCAAGGAUGAGCCCGCGUCGGAUUAGCUAGUUGGUGAGGUAAAGGCUCACCAAGGCGACGAUCCGUAGCUGGUCUGAGAGGAUGAUCAGCCACACUGGGACUGAGACACGGCCCAGACUCCUACGGGAGGCAGCAGUGGGGAAUAUUGGACAAUGGGCGAAAGCCUGAUCCAGCAAUGCCGCGUGAGUGAUGAAGGCCUUAGGGGUUGUAAAGCUCUUUUACCCGGGAUGAUAAUGACAGUACCGGGAGAAUAAGCCCCGGCUAACUCCGUGCCAGCAGCCGCGGUAAU